GAGCGCGACCCGCCAACACAAGACCCGACCCGAGAACUCCAACAACAGCCACAACAAUCAGAUCCGAACAACUGCCAAUCAUCGAGAGGCAAGCAGCGAGCAACGAACACGGCGCGGCGAACGGCGAUAGCGGCGUUGGCGUCCACGAACAUUGACCUUCAUUAGAGAACAAGAGGAAGAACCAGAACCAGCAGCAGCUCCAACAUAGUUUUAAGCUCUCUAGCUCUCUCACUGCCGUUGUUGUUGUUGCUGGUGCUGUAGGCCAUCAAUCAGUCACUCACUCUCUUGCUCGCUCACUCAAGUCAAGCGCAGCUUAUUUCCCCUUUCAGUACUUCCCGAACGAGGCAGUGGCUGUUUUGGUGCAGCGCUGGACACGCUCUAGACGGACUUUAUUCAAACGGCGAUAGAUGCUACCUGCGAAUGGAUUAUGGGAACACCGACCACAGAAACAACAGCACCAAACGAAAUGCAAAAUGCGUUACCUUGCUUCUGGGAGGAACGGGAACGGGAUCGGACACGGACAGGAGAGGAGGGGAGCACAGAGCACAGCACAGCACUCACUUCUCGCUUAGAGCUGAAUCACCAUAAGCCCAAAGCCACGAAAGAAUAAAUAAUAAGUGACUUUGGACAGGCAGACAAGCGGAGGAACAGGGAGAAAGAGGGGGAGAUACAUAUAUCUAAUAAGAAAUCAGCAAAAGCCGCAUCUAAAAAA
RNAcentral lists this small RNA (712 nucleotides) under Drosophila pseudoobscura pseudoobscura. Its description in RNAcentral is "GA31004". The record is from RNAcentral. Lineage: Eukaryota; Metazoa; Arthropoda; Insecta; Diptera; Drosophilidae.